UACGUAGGGGGCUAGCGUUGUCCGGAAUCAUUGGGCGUAAAGAGCGCGUAGGCGGCCAGAUAAGUCCGGUGUGAAAGUCAAAGGCUCAACCUUUGAAUGCCGCUGGAAACUGUCUGGCUAGAGUCCGGGAGGGGCGAGUGGAAUUCCUGGUGUAGCGGUGAAAUGCGCAGAUAUCAGGAAGAACACCCGUGGCUAAGGCGGCUCUCUAGUGCGGUACUGACGCUGAGACGCGAAAGCGUGGGGAGCGAACAGG
This 253-nucleotide ribosomal RNA is filed under the name uncultured bacterium. Its description in RNAcentral is "partial 16S ribosomal RNA". It matches the Rfam family "Bacterial small subunit ribosomal RNA", at positions 524 to 776 of the family's 1533-position model. The record is from RNAcentral.